AUGAGUGAGCAGCAGCCUGAACCA
This 24-nucleotide non-coding RNA is filed under the name Cricetulus griseus (Chinese hamster). Lineage: Eukaryota; Metazoa; Chordata; Mammalia; Rodentia; Cricetidae. The record is from RNAcentral.